GAAUCUUGGACAAUGGGCGAAAGCCUGAUCCAGCCAUGCCGCGUGAGUGAUGAAGGCCUUAGGGUUGUAAAGCUCUUUUGCCAGGGAUGAUAAUGACCGUACCUGGAGAAUAAGCCCCGGCUAACUUCGUGCCAGCAGCCGCGGUAAUACGAAGGGGGCUAGCGUUGUUCGGAAUUACUGGGCGUAAAGCGUGCGCAGGCGGUUUCUCAAGUCAGGGGUGAAAGCCCGGAGCUCAACUCCGGAAUUGCCUUUGAAACUGUGAAGCUAGAGUGCGGGAGAGGUGAGUGGAAUUCCCAGUGUAGAGGUGAAAUUCGUAGAUAUUGGGAAGAACACCGGUGGCGAAGGCGGCUCACUGGCCCGUUUCUGACGCUCAUGCACGACAGCGUGGGGAUCAAACAG
This 399-nucleotide ribosomal RNA is filed under the name uncultured bacterium. RNAcentral's name for it is "bacterial SSU rRNA". It matches the Rfam family "Bacterial small subunit ribosomal RNA", at positions 359 to 775 of the family's 1533-position model. The record is from RNAcentral.